UACGUAGGGUGCGAGCGUUGUCCGGAAUUAUUGGGCGUAAAGGGCUCGUAGGCGGUCUGUCGCGUCGGGAGUGAAAACUCAGGGCUUAACCCUGAGCCUGCUUCCGAUACGGGCAGACUGGAGGUAUGCAGGGGAGAACGGAAUUCCUGGUGUAGCGGUGAAAUGCGCAGAUAUCAGGAAGAACACCGAUGGCGAAGGCAGUGGGCUGGGCCGGUACUGACGCUGAGGAGCGAAAGCGUGGGGAGCGAACAGG
Molecule: ribosomal RNA, 253 nt
Filed under: uncultured bacterium
Lineage: Bacteria
Description: partial 16S ribosomal RNA
Rfam family: Bacterial small subunit ribosomal RNA
Source: RNAcentral